CAGCCGCCGCGGUAACACCAGCCCCCCGAGUGGUGGGGAUGAUUAUUUGGCCUAAAGCGUCCGUAGCCGGCUCUGUAAAUCUCUCGUUAAAUCCAACGUCCUAAGCGUUGGACUGCGAGGGAGACUGCAGAACUAGAGGGUGGGAGAGGUCAGCGGUAUUCCUGGGGUAGGGGCGAAAUCCAUUGAUCCCAGGAGGACCACCAGUGGCGAAGGCUGCCGACUAGAAUACGCCUGACGGUGAGGGACGAAAGCUGGGGUAGCGAAUCGGAUUAGAUACCCGAGUAGUCCCAGCCGUAAACGAUGCAGGCUAGGUGUUGGGUUGGCCAUGUGCCAGCUCAGUGCCACAGGGAAGCCAUUAAGCCUGCCGCCUGGGGAGUACGGCCGCAAGGCUGAAACUUAAAGGAAUUGGCGGGGGAGCAC
Molecule: ribosomal RNA, 420 nt
Filed under: uncultured Nitrososphaerota archaeon
Lineage: Archaea; Thermoproteati; Nitrososphaerota
Description: bacterial SSU rRNA
Rfam family: Archaeal small subunit ribosomal RNA
Source: RNAcentral